CGGAACGUAGCUCAGUUUGGCUGAGAGCGCCGCGUUCGGGACGCGGAGGCCGCAGGUUCAAAUCCUGUCGUUCCGA
RNAcentral lists this transfer RNA (76 nucleotides) under Gloeobacter violaceus SpSt-379. RNAcentral describes it as "tRNA-Pro". It matches the Rfam family "tRNA". From Rfam's summary of the family: Transfer RNA (tRNA) molecules are approximately 80 nucleotides in length. Their secondary structure includes four short double-helical elements and three loops (D, anti-codon, and T loops). Further hydrogen bonds mediate the characteristic L-shaped molecular structure. tRNAs have two regions of fundamental functional importance: the anti-codon, which is responsible for specific mRNA codon recognition, and the 3' end, to which the tRNAs corresponding amino acid is attached (by aminoacyl-tRNA synthetases). tRNAs cope with the degeneracy of the genetic code in two manners: having more than one tRNA (with a specific anti-codon) for a particular amino acid; and 'wobble' base-pairing, i.e. permitting non-standard base-pairing at the 3rd anti-codon position. The record is from RNAcentral. Lineage: Bacteria; Bacillati; Cyanobacteriota; Cyanophyceae; Gloeobacterales; Gloeobacteraceae.